RNAcentral lists this ribosomal RNA (405 nucleotides) under uncultured bacterium. Its description in RNAcentral is "bacterial SSU rRNA". It matches the Rfam family "Bacterial small subunit ribosomal RNA", at positions 355 to 776 of the family's 1533-position model. The record is from RNAcentral.
UGAGGAAUAUUGCACAAUGGACGCAAGUCUGAUGCAGCAACGCCGCGUGGAGGAUGAAGGCCCUUGGGUUGUAAACUCCUUUUUUCGGGGAAGAGAAUGGACGGUACCCGAAGAAUAAGUCACGGCUAACUACGUGCCAGCAGCCGCGGUAAUACGUAGGUGGCAAGCGUUAUCCGGAAUUACUGGGCGUAAAGCGCACGCAGGCGGUCUUGUAAGUUUGACGUGAAAGCUCUCGGCUUAACUGGGAGAGGUCGUUGAAUACUGCAAGACUUGAGUUUAGGAGAGGGGUGUAGAAUUCCCGGUGUAGUGGUGGAAUGCGUAGAUAUCGGGGGGAAUACCAGUGGCGAAAGCGGCACCCUAGCCUUUGACUGACGCUCAUGUGCGAAAGCGUGGGGAGCGAACGGG